UCCAAAAUCUCUGUUUAGUAUUCGCUGGGCUUUAACUUCAGUACCUCUUGUAGGGCAGAUUUUCCCAAGCUCAAACUUCUUUUUCUUUCCUUUUCUAGGCUGCCAAACACUUUCCCAAGAUGAGUGGACAAGUUUUAAUGAAGAGACCUAAGGCUUUUAGGGUAAGGAAUCAAAGAUUGGGAGGUAUAAAAAAAUAAAAGCUAUGGAGGAAGAGGUUCACGUCCAAAUGAAGAAGAAGAACCAGAAAAUUGGUUUCUUCAUUUGUCAUUUUUCUCUUUUUAAAGAGUCUUUGUUGUGUUGUUGAAUGGUGAUUAGUGGAGGGCACUUAAAUGACAUCAUGGUGAUGUCAUAAUUAAGCCUUUAAAUCAUUUUCUUUUUCUUUCUUUUAUAUUCAUUUUUAAUUUAAUUUUUAGCA
This 415-nucleotide unclassified non-coding RNA is filed under the name Hevea brasiliensis (rubber tree). The record is from RNAcentral. Lineage: Eukaryota; Viridiplantae; Streptophyta; Magnoliopsida; Malpighiales; Euphorbiaceae.